Molecule: non-coding RNA, 1369 nt
Organism: Paramormyrops kingsleyae
Lineage: Eukaryota; Metazoa; Chordata; Actinopteri; Osteoglossiformes; Mormyridae
Source: RefSeq, a predicted model, not a curated record
AGACCGAAAAUAGUGCGCUCCCUAUACCUCCCCGCUUUCGCAAAAGGGCUGGUGGUCUGUUCCGCCCGAGAUGGCCGGCUGUCGCGCAUCAUGGGAAUUAGCCAGCAGAGAGACAGAGAGAGGAGCUAGACAGAAGCUGCAGAGAGGGGAACAAUGGAUCUGGAGUUUCAAUGUGCAUCGCUGAAUGGCACCCCCAGUCCUUGAGCUCUGGGGCCAGAUUUACCAUUAUUUGCCUCAGAGACAUCUGUUUACCACCCUGUCUUUGCAGGAACACUGUGCUAAAAAGAAUCGACUGAUCAGUGACUCCUGGCCAGCGGAGGAGCAUUCCAUGGAAGUCGCUGACCGGCAAUAGCAGUUAGUCACUGAGCUGUGGGGGCAGGACCCAUGGGAUGGGUGUGCCUCUUCUUCGGAAACUCCAAUGCCGGGCGUGGCAGGUGAACCACCCCCAACCCCCCAGUGUGCCCACUACUCCCAGUUCCAACAGUGACACAGCAGUGUUGGGUGGAUCCACACAUCCCCCGCAUGUAAACACACAUGCACGCAGACAGCGUCUAGACCAAGAAAGUACAGACUGAGGUUUCUUGUUAAAUGGGAAUUAUGUUCAACAAAGCAAGAUCUUGCGUAGGGAAAAAAAAAAAGUAAAGACAGACAUAGAAAACUACAAAAAAAGUAACAUGUUUACAGACGAUGGGUGAACCUUGUAGUGGCAAUGACCAGAUACGAAAAGCUGAAUCCCUCCAUCGGACUGGAACAUAGAGUUGAGUCGCCCAAGAUCUAAGAAGCUGAGUAAGGGGUGGAGACCCACGACUUGGAGAGGAUUGACGACGACUCGGUUCUCUCCAUCUCAUCUGGGCCGUCUUCAUUCCCAUCCACAACAGAAGAGGACAGGAAUGCAGCCAAGCCUGCUGAGGUCGACGAGACCGACUGGGUGCGACCCUGACUGAGCACAGAAGGGGCAGACUGUCCAGUGAGAGCUGGCUGACUCAGGAGGAUCUGGAUAUAAAGAGGGUUGUGUUGCAGAGAAUAGACGCUUUGGGCCAGGAGUUUUCGGCGACGAUAUCGUCGACAAUGGAAUGGCUGACUUCGAACAGUGAAAGACGUACCAGUGCCACUGUGGAAGACGUACCAGUGCCACUGUGGACUGCACAGCACAAACAUUACAGCACAUGGCUCCUCCAUAUCGUCAUCCAAACCAGUUUACACAUCCCAACAUGCAUGUACCUCAUUGAAAUAGACUACACAAACAAUCAGCUUUAGUACUUGUGUAAUUUGUGUAUAUAUGGUAUACAUGAGUAUUUGAUAAUAUGUACAUUUCUCAUUUGCACAAUCAGGCAAAACUUUCCAGAGUAUUUUUUAGAAUAUAUUUUAU